CUGGGCGUAAAGGAUGAGAAGGCGGAGAUAAAAGUCUACCUUAAAUCUUAACCGCCCAACGGUUAAGCAGGGUAGAAUACUUUAUCUCUAGAAGAUACUAGAAGCUAACGGAACGUACGGUGUAGGGGUGAAAUCCGUUGAUAUCGUACGGAACGCCGAAGGCGAAGGCAGUUAGCUAUGGUAUCUUGACGCUGAUCCAUGAAAGCUAGGGGCGCAAACCGGAUUAGAUACCCGGGUAGUCCUAGCUGUAAACGAUGUAGGCUCGAUGUUGGGUUACCACGUGUAGCCCAGUGUCGCAGGGAAGCCGUUAAGCCUACCGCCUGGGGAGUACGGCCGCAAGGCUGAAACUUAAAGGAAUUGGCGGGGGAGCACACAAGGGGUGAAGCCUGCGGUUUAAUUGGAGUCAACGCCGGGAACCUUACCAGGGGUGACGCAGUGAAGGUAGGUAAAGACCUACCAGACAAGCUGAGAGGAGGUGCAUGGCCGUCGCCAGCUCGUGCCGUGAGGUGUCCUGUUAAGUCAGGUAACGGGCGAGACCCUCGUCCUUAGUUGCUGCCAUUUUUGAGUGGAGCUAACUAAGGAGACUGCCGCCGAUAAGGCGGAGGAAGGGGAGGGCUACGGCAGGUCAGUAUGCCCCGAAACCCUUGGGCCACACGCGGGCUGCAAUGGUAGGGACAAUGGGCUCCGACCUCGAAAGAGGAAGGAAUCCCCAAACCCUACCUCAGUUAUGAUUGAGGGCUGCAACCCGCCCUCAUGAAUCUGGAAUCCCUAG
This 772-nucleotide ribosomal RNA is filed under the name uncultured crenarchaeote. Its description in RNAcentral is "bacterial SSU rRNA". It matches the Rfam family "Archaeal small subunit ribosomal RNA", at positions 504 to 1294 of the family's 1478-position model. The record is from RNAcentral. Lineage: Archaea; Thermoproteati; Thermoproteota.